Molecule: ribosomal RNA, 625 nt
Filed under: uncultured Sebacina
Lineage: Eukaryota; Fungi; Basidiomycota; Agaricomycetes; Sebacinales; Sebacinaceae
Description: eukaryotic LSU rRNA
Rfam family: 5.8S ribosomal RNA (bases 216-369)
Source: RNAcentral
AAGGAUCAUUAGUGAAUCUUCAAAGUCGGCUCGUCGGAUUGUGCUGGUGGAGACACAUGUGCACGUCUGCGAGUCGCAAACCCACACACCUGUGCAUCUAUGACUCUGAGCGCCGCUUUGCAUGGCCUUUUUAUCGAGGCCUGGCGCUCGAGUACUUUCACACACUCUCGAAUGUAACGGAAUGUCUUGUUGUGCUCAAUGCACAAAAACGAAACAACUUUCAACAACGGAUCUUUUGGCUCUCGCAUCGAUGAAGAACGCAGCGAAAUGCGAUAAGUAAUGUGAAUUGCAGAAUUCAGUGAAUCAUCGAAUCUUUGAACGCACCUUGCACCCUUUGGUAUUCCGAAGGGUACACCGGUUUGAGUGUCAUUGUAAUCUCACUACCAUCGACUUUGGUCUUUUGGUAUGUGGACUUGGAUGCUGCCGUUCGAUCGACGGCUCGUCUGAAAUGCUUCAGUGUACCCCACUUUGCGGCGUAUUCGGGGUGAUAAAUCUUCACCGGAGUUGAUCCUUUUGGGUCGCGUCUGUAAUGGUGUGGCUCUAUGCUUCCAACCGUCUGCCCAGGUGGACAAUCUCUGACAAUUUGACCUCAAAUCGGGUGGGACUACCCGCUGAACUUAAGCAU